Long non-coding RNA from Cannabis sativa, 585 nucleotides. RefSeq lists it as uncharacterized. The record is from RefSeq and is a predicted model, not a curated record. NCBI's taxonomy places the organism in Eukaryota, Viridiplantae, Streptophyta, Magnoliopsida, Rosales, Cannabaceae. The transcript is spliced from 2 exons.
ACAAAACGCACCGUUUUAAGAAGUAAAACACACGAACACUACCCGGACAGUCGACAGUGCAGUGUAGUGAUUACGAUCAGAGGAAGAAAAUGGAGGCCGUUGGAGGUGGUAAUGGCGUACGAGUUCCAACACCAUCUUUCCUCUUCAGGGGUAUUGCAAUUGAAAUCAAUGGAGCCUUAGGUGUAGAAUUAAGUGCAUGAUUUGGGCAAGCUAGGGUUUUACAUCAUAACCAAAUUCUCCGUCAUUUCUUACUUGCCAGGAUGCCACUUCCUGCCAAUUCCAUCUUGUGGCCCAACCACAAGCCAAAUAAGAUUCCUAUUGUUCCCAGGUAAAAUUCUUGUGGACAAAGUUAAGUAUAUCUAAGCAGUUCCUGCCUUUAAAUGUGGCUUUUACCAAUAUCUUGUAAUAGUUAGUAAUAAUGAUAAUAAUAGUAAUACUUAAUAUGACUUAAUUGAUGACAACCACAUUUCCAUGCCCCCUAAAUUUUAAGCAUUAUCCUUUUGGUUUCAUGACUAUGUUCUUUAAAGUCAAAUGUGUUGAUUGUUUUCUUAUUUAUGAAUGUUGCUGUGAUUUGAACUUUUCAUU